This 497-nucleotide ribosomal RNA is filed under the name uncultured bacterium. RNAcentral describes it as "partial 16S ribosomal RNA". It matches the Rfam family "Bacterial small subunit ribosomal RNA", at positions 28 to 507 of the family's 1533-position model. The record is from RNAcentral.
GAUGAACGCUGGCGGCGUGCCUAAUACAUGCAAGUCGAGCGAACAGACGAGGAGCUUGCUCCUCUGACGUUAGCGGCGGACGGGUGAGUAACACGUGGAUAACCUACCUAUAAGACUGGGAUAACUUCGGGAAACCGGAGCUAAUACCGGAUAAUAUAUUGAACCGCAUGGUUCAAUAGUGAAAGACGGUUUUGCUGUCACUUAUAGAUGGAUCCGCGCCGCAUUAGCUAGUUGGUAAGGUAACGGCUUACCAAGGCAACGAUGCGUAGCCGACCUGAGAGGGUGAUCGGCCACACUGGAACUGAGACACGGUCCAGACUCCUACGGGAGGCAGCAGUAGGGAAUCUUCCGCAAUGGGCGAAAGCUUGACGGAGCAACGCCGCGUGAGUGAUGAAGGUCUUCGGAUCGUAAAACUCUGUUAUUAGGGAAGAACAAAUGUGUAAGUAACUAUGCAAGUCUUGACGGUACCUAAUCAGAAAGCCACGGCUAACUACGUG